RNAcentral lists this ribosomal RNA (783 nucleotides) under uncultured Sphingobacterium sp. RNAcentral describes it as "bacterial SSU rRNA". It matches the Rfam family "Bacterial small subunit ribosomal RNA", at positions 56 to 836 of the family's 1533-position model. Lineage: Bacteria; Pseudomonadati; Bacteroidota; Sphingobacteriia; Sphingobacteriales; Sphingobacteriaceae. The record is from RNAcentral.
UGCAAGUCGGACGGGAUUGGAGAGCUUGCUUUCCAUGAGAGUGGCGCACGGGUGCGAAACACGUAUGUAACCUACCCUUAUCAGGGGGAUAGCCUCUCGAAAGAGAGAUUAAGCCCGCAUAAUAUUACAUCAUAGCAUUGUGGAGUAAUCAAAUAUUUAUAGGAUAAGGAUGGGCAUGCGGAACAUUAGCUAGUUGGUAAGGUAAUGGCUUACCAAGGCUACGAUGUUUAGGGGAUCUGAGAGGAUGACCCCCCACACUGGUACUGAGACACGGACCAGACUCCUACGGGAGGCAGCAGUAAGGAAUAUUGGUCAAUGGGCGGAAGCCUGAACCAGCCAUGCCGCGUGCAGGAAGACGGCCCUACGGGUUGUAAACUGUUUUUGCAGGGGAAUAAACCUCCGGUCGUGACCGGAGCUGAAUGUACUCUGAGAAUAAGGAUCGGCUAACUCCGUGCCAGCAGCCGCGGUAAUACGGAGGAUCCAAGCGUUAUCCGGAUUUAUUGGGUUUAAAGGGUGCGUAGGCGGCCUAUUAAGUCAGGGGUGAAAGACGGUAGCUUAACUAUCGCAGUGCCUCUGAUACUGAUGGGCUUGAAUAUACUAGAGGUAGGCGGAAUGUGACGAGUAGCGGUGAAAUGCAUAGAUAUGUCACAGAACACCAAUUGCGAAGGCAGCUUACUAUGGUAUUAUUGACGCUGAGGCACGAAAGCGUGGGGAUCAAACAGGAUUAGAUACCCUGGUAGUCCACGCCCUAAACGAUGAAUACUCGAUGUUAGCGAUAUACAG